This 448-nucleotide ribosomal RNA is filed under the name uncultured bacterium. RNAcentral describes it as "bacterial SSU rRNA". It matches the Rfam family "Bacterial small subunit ribosomal RNA", at positions 355 to 825 of the family's 1533-position model. The record is from RNAcentral.
CAGGGAAUCUUGCACAAUGGGCGAAAGCCUGAUGCAGCGACGCCGCGUGGGGGAUGAAGGCCUUAGGGUCGUAAACCCCUUUCAGCAGGGACGAAAAUGACGGUACCUGCAGAAGAAGCCCCGGCCAACUACGUGCCAGCAGCCGCGGUAAGACGUAGGGGGCGAGCGUUGUCCGGAUUUAUUGGGCGUAAAGAGCUCGUAGGCGGUUGCGUAAGUCGGAUGUGAAAACUCAGGGCUCAACCCUGAGACGCCAUCCGAUACUGCGCUGACUUGAAUCCAGUAGGGGAGUGUGGAAUUCCUGGUGUAGCGGUGAAAUGCGCAGAUAUCAGGAGGAACACCCAUGGCGAAGGCAGCACUCUGGGCUGGUAUUGACGCUGAGGAGCGAAAGCAUGGGUAGCGAACAGGAUUAGAUACCCACGUAGUCCCUGAGCGGGCUGGCAAGGCGCAU